AUUGAGAUGCGAGGUGUAUUUGUUUUUGUUUUUUUUUUCCUUUGUAUGACACUUACGGAGAGUACUUUAGUUCAAAAAAUGCUUGCCUUCUUCUCCUUGUAUAAUUUACAACAUGGAGUAAACAUCUUUUCUAUGCCUUAGUACAUUGUCUUGCUCCUUUCUAAGUUUGGAUCAGCUUCCAAUAUUUUAUCCUUUCAGCUUUCCAUGUCACAAAAUUCCUCCAAGAGUUCCUUUAAAGUGACUUUGUAUUCUAUAACGUCCCUUCCUCUGGGACAUCUUCAUCCUUUUUGUCCCCAUGACCUUCCUUGUUUAUGCUAAUACAUUUGCCUUCCCUGAGUUCCUCUAUGCCACCUAUCUCUCAAAUGGCAGCAGGGUCAACAUCCCCAUAGUCUGCUAUUCUUCGAUAACUCCAUUUAUGCUGUCUUUGAAGUUCACUUCUGGCAUUAUCACUUUUCAUUUCUUUGCUGCAUUUUUAUAUUUGUUGGCCAGUUCCCUCUUUUCGUGAUACAUUGUUGUAAAAUCUCAUGGGAGUUAGCCACCUGGAGACAGGGAGUCAACACAACUACACACUUUGCUGUCUGUGCAUAAAUUGAAGAGCAGAAGCUCAGUAACCAAUCACUGAUGGACUUUGAAAGGAGUGACAGUAAUUUGCCCUCAAUUAUGAUGCUUAUCUUUUAUUUACGUCGUGAUUUCUAGACUGAAGAGUUAGCAACAAAGUUUAUACCAUAUGUAACUACUCAUGAUCAAUAUACCAAGGUACUGAAAGUGAACCAUGUCACUGGGCUACUAGUGUUAUUUAACUGAAUCAUGCAAAGUGAGGGCUGCCUGUAUUCUUGCCUUUGUUUUCUAGAACUGAAGUACGGAGGGAGUCAAAUAAUGCAUCCAAUGUUAUUUACAGCUGGAAUUUGAAUCCAUGCAGUUGGGUGCAGAGUCUGAGCUCUUAAUCACCUUGACCAUUACAUUACCUCGCUUUAUAUUUCCUUUGGGAAAAUGUUUCCUAAAAAAUUGUAAUGCCCCUCUGUGCUGCUAUGUGGGAAUCGGAAGUCUCAGUGCCCAAUCAGACCUCCUUGUCCAGGAACAGACCCUUGGGGCUGACCCCUCCUUGGGACCCAAUGCCCUUCUUUCUGCACUAUCCAGGUACCGGGGAGACCAGGAUGCCACUAUGUCUAUACUGGACAUAUCCAUGAUGACUGGCUUUGCUCCAGACACAGAUGACCUCAAGCAGCUGGCCAACGGUGUUGACAGAUACAUCUCCAAGUAUGAGCUGGACAAAGCCUUCUCCGAUAGGAACACCCUCAUCAUCUACCUGGACAAGGUCUCACACUCUGAGGAUGACUGUCUAGCUUUCAAAGUUCACCAAUACUUUAAUGUAGAGCUUAUCCAGCCUGGUGCAGUCAAGGUCUAUGCCUAUUACAACCUGGCGGAAAGCUGUACCCGGUUUUACCAUCCGGAAAAGGAGGAUGGAAAGCUGGACAAGCUCUGCCGUGAUGAACUGUGCCGCUGUGCUGAGGAGAAUUGCUUCAUACAAAAGUUGGAUGACAAGAUCACCCUGGAAGAACGGCUGGACAAGGCCUGUGAGCCAGGAGUGGACUAUGUGUACAAGACCCGACUGGUCAAGGCCCAGCUGUCCAAUGACUUUGACGAGUACAUCAUGGCCAUUGAGCAGAUCAUCAAGUCAGGCUCGGAUGAGGUGCAGGUUGGGCAGCAGCGCACUUUCAUCAGCCCCAUCAAGUGUAGAGAAGCCCUGAAGCUGGAGGAGAGGAAACACUACCUCAUGUGGGGUCUCUCCUCCGAUUUCUGGGGAGAGAAACCCAACCUCAGCUACAUCAUCGGGAAGGACACUUGGGUGGAGCACUGGCCCGAGGAGGACGAAUGCCAAGACGAAGAGAACCAGAAACAAUGCCAGGACCUCGGCACCUUCACUGAGAACAUGAUUGUCUUUGGGUGCCCCAACUGACCACAGCCCCAUUCCCCCACUCCCAAUAAAGCUUCAGUUAU
This 1998-nucleotide small RNA is filed under the name Pongo abelii (Sumatran orangutan). Its description in RNAcentral is "retained intron". Lineage: Eukaryota; Metazoa; Chordata; Mammalia; Primates; Hominidae. The record is from RNAcentral.